AUUCUGCAGUAAUUUCAUUGCCCUGGAAGAAAUGUUGAAACGAUUGCGCUCCCCUGAGCACACGGACCACACAAGCGUCGCUGGAGGAUAUUACUGACCGCUGCCCUUAAUUUUUAUUGUUUGAGUUAUGUCUGCCAAUUGCAUCUCCCUCUUAUUAACUUAUUUGUUUUCCGCCUUUUUUUUUUUCUCCCCGCGAGCCGAGGUGACCGCUUCUUUCCAUAAUCGCCUUUUGCGAAAGAGCUGGCUCCGAUCGUCGGCUCUGGGAAGGCAGAAGGACCGCACUGUGCUUAAAACCCGUAUUUUUUUCCCUCGCAAUAAACACGAGGAACGGCUGCAACCGGAUCGGCCUCGGCCUCCUCGCCGAUCACCCCUCAAUCCCUCCCGCGCGUUCCCGCAGCGGAAGGACGCGGGCGGCUCCGCGUGUGAGCGCGCAGCUCGGCUCAGCUGCGCCUGGCGAGCGCUGGAAGCCGCCUAUGCCGGCCCUUGUCCAGGAGAUGGCAGGAUUGCCUCAGCCAUGCCGGGCCCGGGCCGGCCCUGCAACGCAGCGCCGCGCAACCGCGCAUCCGCAGCCCGCUCGGCCGAGGUCCGCGUUAUCCUCCGCGAGGAUGCCCGCGUGUCCGGCGGGCCGUACGGCUUUGCUCGGAGCUCCUCCGGCCGCGGGCAGAGUGCGGUGGGCGGCGGGGCCGGGCCGAGCGUGGGACGGAGGCCGGCACCGGGCUCCCGGUGGCGUCGGGCCGGGAGCACACCGGGCCCGCACCGGCUCCGGUACCGGCAGCGAGAGCUCGGCGUUCGGCUCUGCCCCACCCGCAGCAAUGCCCCGCAUCCCGGCGGCUGUUUUCGUAACGCUUCCGCACGUCGUUAGAAAAGGAGAAGGCGGCUCCUUUGCAGCUGGUCCCGAUUUGCCGGCCUGCCCGGGCUUCCUCCUGCCCCGCGAAGGGAGUUUCAGCCUUGGCCUCCGAAAUACCGGCGCCGCGAAGCCCGACGCCGAGGCCGCAAGAAGGCGCAGCCCGGAGGGCCAGAGCGGUGCGGAGCUCCCGGAGCGUCACUGAGGCCGAAGGGAUGCAGCGGGGGAGGCGCCAGGAGCCCGAAAAAGAAGAAUCUGGAGAAUUUUUCUCAUGCAAAGAAAACAAGGCUGCAGCAUCAGAGAGAGCUCCUCCAGGCACCAUGUGCCCCCAACCCCCCACUUUUUUGUUUUUUUUUCUUUUUUCUUUCCCCAGAACCGAACGAAAGGCACCGCUAGCUACAAAACCUCAGGCGUUCCGAAUUGGUUUUUUGGGGGGUCCGGUUCAGGGGAAAAAAAAAAAAAAAGCUCUCUAAAAGUCCGUGAGUGUGCGAGAGGAAGAGAAAGGGGAAGGAAGAGGGCGGAGGAGGCGGGCGAUGGCUCCCCGGUGGCUGCCGCCGGGCGCGGAGCCCAUGGGGGCCCCGUCCGGGCCGGCGGUGGGGGGCAGCGGGGCUCCACCGGAGCCGGAGCGGCCUCGGUAAGGCGAACAAAGGCGCCGGGGCCGGAGCAGGGCAGGCAGAGCCGCCAGCCGGGGCGCGGGAGAGAGGCCGCUCUCCCCAGCAGCAUUUCUUCUCCGCAAAAACCUUCCCCGGCGAAAAGGGCCUCUCGGGUCCGGCUUUCCCUCGUCCUCCACGUCCCCCACUGUUCUGUCUCUCCUCGCGGAAGAACCGCGGCCCCGAGCGCGUCCCGUACGGCGCUGCGGCCCCCGAAACGCCCUGCUCUGGGAAGAAGGCCAAUUUCCUCCUCUUUUCGGAUACAUCGAAAAGAAAUCGUUUUAUUAAAGAUGGGUCAGAAACAGUUUGGCAACGUCGUAAACGGCUGGGAAGCUCAGCCCGUGCUUCCAGCACGACGUGAAAGCAGACUUUGAGACGAGAAGGGAAAUAAAAAUGGUUUAUGGAGAGAUAGUCUGACCGUACGUCUUACCACGUACACGGGAAAUCAAAGCGUUUAGAGCAAUAGGAUAUUAUAAUAAAUAAUACUAGAUCGAAACACACACCAUUUAAUAAUUACACGAGGCACAUGAACAGGGAGGACAUCGCUUCUCUUUCCCAGGAGCUGACCUCCCUGCGUAUAGCAUAACAUGCACGCUAGGUUUAAAAUUACAAAAACCCAACCGAGUCCCAGCCUUUCGGCCUACAUAAAUUAUGGCAUCUUUUGAAACGAAUCAUUUAUUGCUUCUGUCAUUAACACCCGUUUAGUUUUGCAAACUGAAAGUUAGCGGUGAACUUCACUUCUCCGAUCGGGAAGUGCGUUAUGCGCAGCGCGGGGUCCGCACGGAGGUACGUGCGCACCUCGGGACGGGACGGGACGGGAUGGGACGGGGCGGCCGGAGGGGACCCCCGGGCGCUGCUGCGGGGAGCAUCGCUGCCCCUUCGGAUCCAACGAGAGGAGCCGAGGCCGCGCUCCGUACCCCAGGAAAAGCCGGUAGCAGAUUGCCCGCCAGCAAAAUCAAAUCAUAAAGAAUAAAAAGAGCGAUCCCACUGCAGUGCAAACAAUUCCCUUCCGGAGCCGCUGCUUCCGACAUCCGCGGAGCCCCGUGCGGACUCCGGCAAGGCGGCUUUUGCCGGCAGUGACUGCGGGAACGCCGCUCACUCGCGUUUUCCGACCAAUACACCAAAUCGAGUCCGACACUUUCGGGCACCGGCCGACGUUCGGAGAUAAAAACCCCGGGUCCCCUCCCCAAAGAGAUAAGCAUUUAAGAAAGUUAUAAAUGGAACCGUUCGACACGUUUAAAUUCGUUUAUACUGGCCUAGAGGGAAGGAUAGAAAAUAUAAUUAAUAUUAAUAUUAUUUUUUUUUAAAAAAGGAAGGAAGAAACAACGCUAAAGUCACGGCUUGUCGGCGCUCCCUUCCACCGAGAGAACAACGCCGGCUUUCACGGGAAUAGAAAACAAUUCACGAAACUUCGCCACCGCUGGAAGGAGAAGAGAAAAAAAAUAUUAAAUAUAUUUUCAAGUCUUUCCAAAAGUCCGCAGCUGGUCGUAAACGGAGGUUGUAUAUCCGCCACUGUCCGCAAGGAAUCGAUCAAGAAACGUUGUCUUUCAGUUUGGAGACUAUUUUCUUAUCCUUCACCCUCCUGUUCUGAAACCAAAUGGUGACCUGGCGUUCGGACAGGUUCGUGGCCGCGGAUAUCCUUCGCCUCUUGUCCUUGUUAAUGAACUUGUUAAUGGCGUAUUCGUUCUCGAGUUCCUUAAGCUGGAGCUUGGUGUAGGGCACUCUCUUCUUCCUCCCGCGCCGGUAGACGCACAUCUCGGGCUGGUUUAGUGCAACGUCCCCUAAGGAAAAGACACGACGUGAAAAAUUAGAAUUUUAUGACAGGCGUUUAAAGCGUAGCCGAUUCUUGUCGGGCGCUGCUUUUCACGGGCAAAUAAAUAACGGCGGCUUGUUUACAGUUUAUUAUUAUUUACACCGCCCCAUUAGCCGCGCGUCGGGCAGCCCCGCGCCUGACGGACUGUCAUCACUGUGAGCGGCGCGGCGGG
RNAcentral lists this long non-coding RNA (3479 nucleotides) under Gallus gallus (chicken). Lineage: Eukaryota; Metazoa; Chordata; Aves; Galliformes; Phasianidae. The record is from RNAcentral.